GAGGCUAAUGGCGGUGCCCACGGAACUGCAUGGAGGGAGUGUUAAGGAGACCGCAGCAGAAAAGGAAUCGCGAGUUCUGGAACCUGGCGCCGCCCCGUUCGGAAAUUUUCCUCAUUAUUCUCGCUUCCACCCUCCGGAGCAACGGCUCCGCCUCCUGCCCCCGGAGCUGCUUCGACAGCUCUUUCCUGAGAGUCCCGAGAACGGGCCGAUUCUGGGGCUCGACGUGGGGUGUAACUCCGGGGUGAGUGACGGGAGGGAUUGGAGCAUCCGGAGCCAAGUGGUAGGCUGCCUACACUUCCACUGUGGUUUUGGCCUGGGCUCACACCCAUCGAAACUUUCCCAAAACGAGUAUAAAGCCUGGCUUUGACUGAGCCAGUGCCGCUGCUGCCUGCCCGCCAGGGUUCCACCAUCUGUCUUAGGAAUCUCUCUUGGAGAGGAGUCCUUGUCGACUACGUUCCCACUUCUCUUUCAGGGCCAGACCCCAGGUGGGAACGGUCCUUGUAUCUAGAGUGGCCUUUGUCCAGCGUGCCUGGCGCUUUAGCUGGGGAAAGGGGGCUUCCAGAGACACACGUUUGGGAACAUGGGGUUAGGUUUGGUUUACUGGGAGAGAAGAGCCAAGGGUGACAGAAUCAUGCCUGAUAUUGAGACUCAUGUGUGCUAUACAGUGCAGGACAGACCCUGGGACCUGCAUGUUUAUUUCAAAAAAAGAUCUGAGUGUGGCUCUAUACAAACACUUCCUCUCCCUACCUGACGGGAAGACCUGCUCAGAUGCCUCAAGAGAAUUCCGUCUCCUCUGCUGCGACAUAGAUCCAGUCCUGGUGAAGCGAGCUGAAAAAGAAUGUCCUUUUCCUGAUGCCUUGACCUUUAUCACCCUGGACUUCAUGAACCAAAGGACCCGGAAGGUUCUCUUAAGCUCUUUCUUAAGCCAAUUUGGACGUUCAGUUUUUGACAUUGGCUUCUGCAUGUCAAUAACCAUGUGGAUUCAUCUGAAUCAUGGAGACCAUGGCCUGUGGGAGUUCCUGGCCCAUCUUUCCUCCCUCUGCCGCUACCUUCUUGUGGAGCCCCAACCCUGGAAGUGUUACCGGGCAGCUGCAAGGCGUCUCCGAAAGCUGGGACUCCAUGAUUUU
This 1127-nucleotide small RNA is filed under the name Pongo abelii (Sumatran orangutan). RNAcentral's name for it is "retained intron". Lineage: Eukaryota; Metazoa; Chordata; Mammalia; Primates; Hominidae. The record is from RNAcentral.